UACAGAGGGUGCAAGCGUUGUUCGGAUUCAUUGGGCGUAAAGGGUGUGUAGGUGGCGCCGUAAGUCGGGUGUGAAAUCUCGGGGCUUAACUCCGAAACUGCAUUCGAUACUGCGGUGCUUGAGGACUGGAGAGGAGACUGGAAUUCAUGGUGUAGCAGUGAAAUGCGUAGAGAUCAUGAGGAAGACCAGUGGCGAAGGCGGGUCUCUGGACAGUUCCUGACACUGGGACACGAAGGCCAGGGGAGCAAACGGG
RNAcentral lists this ribosomal RNA (253 nucleotides) under uncultured bacterium. RNAcentral describes it as "partial 16S ribosomal RNA". It matches the Rfam family "Bacterial small subunit ribosomal RNA", at positions 524 to 776 of the family's 1533-position model. The record is from RNAcentral.